AAUCGACAGACUAUCUGAUUUGGUUAAUUCAACCUCUUAAAUGGAAGUAGUUAUCACAUUUAAUUACUCAACUUUAAAAUACAAUUAAGCUAUUGGCCUAAAUAUCAUAUUCUUGUCAAUGGCUAGGGGGUAAAGAGUAUAUAUGGAGUACAUAUUCAAUGUGGUUAACUGAAAAUCACCCCAUACCCCAAAAUUCCAAUCCCACAAAUACAAAAUAUAUAUGAAACAAAUUUAUAGGAAGUCCUAUACCUAGCAAAGCCUUCUCAUCUAACAUUACUUUGGAAGCAAUGCCAAUGCAGAUUGGAUAACAUUAGGCAACUUUUCUCUCAAUGUGUAAACUGUGUUCUUCAACGUUUCGCAUGAACUCAUCUCCUCAGGAGCAAACUCAUAGUGCUGCAGAGUAUGGAGCUGCCUCUCCAGGUACCUGCGAAGACUAGCCUCUGCAACAUUAAUAAGACUGAGAGAAGCAAUCGUGUGCAUAUAUUUCGUAACAAGAAAUCCUGCUAGGAUCUGCUGAUCAGCUUUUACAAGCUCUGAUAUGAAGGAGGGGAACAGGAUUCUCCUGAAAAUAAGUAACAAGUCAUCCUUUUCGUUGUCUACAGAUUCCUUCUUUCCUUUCUCCAUGAUCCCUGAUAACUGGGCCUCCUGACACUGGCGACAGAAAUUGCCCGUCAAAUAGCAGAGAUAAGAGAAAGCAGUGCCGUAAGAAGAGUUAUUUAUUAUAGUUGAUAUAAUCCCAGAUGAUAACACAAGAAUGAAGAACUCAUGGUCCCUGCCAACUGUAUUCGAGAUGCCUCGUUGUUUCAGUCUGUCUUCAACUGCACCCAAACAUUGCAACUGAAUUGCUUCAUAGGGCAGAAGAAGCACCAGCUUCAAAGUCAGAAAACAAUCCAUCUCAAAUAAAACCCGACUCAACAUCCUGGUACCAUCUUCAUCCAGCAAUAUUCCGUUAGAUUUUGGUAAGGAUUGGUCGAUCAGUCUUAAUAUAUCAUUUAACUGUGAACGUGCAAUCAAUUUUUUGAAAAUCUCCAUCCAACACACAUGUAAAGGAUGAACAUUAAGGCAGUUAUCUAUCUUCACUUUCUCAAGCGAUUCUACUUCCUGAAAGCUUUCCCAUCCUUCAUCCCAGUCAUCAUUAUUCCAAUCAAUUCCUGCUGCAGAUGCUUCUGCAGAAUCUUUCUCAUCUCUUCCAACAACAAAGAAUCCUUCCCAUUCUUCCAAAAUGGCAAGCAGCACUUCAAUAUCAGUAUUUGAAUUGGAAACUUCACAAAACUUCAAGAAGCAGGAGACAGCUGUCUCUGCAUUCAAGAGAUCAUCGGGAGUAAUUUCUAUGGUGGGGGAGAUGGCAGAUGCAAGCUGAGAUGAUUUAAGGGCAACUAAGGUACUUGUGAACUGAGUAGAAGCAUCUGUAUUAUCCAGCAAUCCAUCAUCGGCAGUUGUCUCACUCUUUUUACUAGCAGAGAUUAAUUCAUCCCAUCCUUCCCAUGGUAAAACUUUGGAUUGUAGCUCUGGAGAGAAACCCUUAAUAUUUCUACCCCUGAUCAGUUGCAUAAGCUCUAGAACAUACACCCGAUCAUGACUUGGUAGCUGUGAGUUAUCAGAGAACUGGACCAUUCUUUCCCAAACUACCUGCCUGACCCUCCGCAAGUCCUCCAGUUGACCUUCCAACUUACUCAAAGAUGAUAGCAAAUGAUACAAAUUCUGGUUUCCAUGGGAGCAGCUCACCAAGUCUUUUAAAAUGGGUUCCAACAUAUUUAUAUAGAGAUGAACAAGAGCCUGAGCUUCAGAGUCUGCCGAUGGAGUUGAAUGGUGAUCACAAUGUGAUAUUGCUUCUGAGAAAACUUCUGAAACGGCUCCAAACCCACAACCAGAAAAUACCAUGGCUUUGCAGAAAAUCAGAAUCUCUACAGGAAAAUCACCAAUCAAGCCAUUAGUGACGUAGCCAACAAUGGUUCCCCAGCUCUGACUAGGUGAUACGGUGUCCUCCAUCACCAACCUCAUAAAUACCUUCAAGCAGCUUGACAAGCAGUCUGCAUGGAACUUGAGUUUUUCAACUGAGCUCUCAUUAGAAGCAAUUUCCUGCAUUUCUUCCGUCAAUCUAAGCCAAAAGUUCAAAAGGAUGAUGAGGCAAUCCUGCCAUGUUGAGUUAUCUGGAAUACUCCCAUAACAACAAUGCAAAGGUAUAAUCACAGUUAAAUAUUGCUUCAUAAUGUCCAGAGCAUCUGAAGGUGCCAAAAGUCUGAUAUACAUUUGAGAAGAAUCAUAGAUGUGCUCAAGUUGACCAAUAAACUCCUGAAACUUUUCAGGGUUUCCAAUAUUUAACUCCAUUCUUGUGCUACUUUCCAACAUUGUAAACAAACCUAGAAUAUAAUGUUUAUACACAUCCUGCCACAUCAUGAGAUCUUCAGGCAUUGAAUUGGUAUAGAUACUGGCCAGCGUUUGUACCAUUUUUGCCAACGCUUCCAAAUUAAAUUCACUGAUGUGUCUGCAGACUUCACUGCGUAAAGAAUGCAAAUUCAAACCAUCUAAUCCAGCAACAUUCUUGAAAUUUAGGUUCUUAAUAAAGGAAACCCUUUGACAUUCUUGCGCAAUUACCUUGUAUAAACAAGCUAAUUCAAGAGUGGAUAAACGGGAUGAACAUUCUUCUAUUGCUUGCAGUGAUUGCUUAGUUUCCUCCAGCUGCAAGUAGCAGUCAGAGAGGAGGCCAUAAAUACAGGCAAGACGCUGCUUAUUGCACCCAUCAAUAGCAGGGUACACUACCGAGGAAAUGGUUUUGAUGGUUUCUGAAGCACAGCCAAUUAUCUCUGCUUUGACUUCUGAGAUUUCAGCCAUAAUAUCAUCAACAGUCCAAACCUCAGAAACAAGAAUAGAACUCAAGUACUGAAGUAGAACCUCAGUAUGAUUCAAGCCAUAAGUGUCAGCUAAUUUCAACACAUCCUUCAAAAUGCGUUUCUUUUCCAACUUUACUGAUUCAGUUAGGGAAAAAACAAUACUCUCAAUGUACUUAUAGUCACCAGAUAGAAAGCGCGUGGUGUCAACCCCAGGAAUGAUCUGCUCCAAAACUCUAGAAUGUUCUGCUAUACGCUUUUUUUCUUCUAAUUUGAUCUUCCAUUGCCUCCAGAAUGUUGACUGUGCUUCAUCAAUUUUGUUGAUCUCAUCAGAGCUAAGUGGUGUGCGCUUCUCUUCAAACUUCCUCAAUAGCAGCUCCCUCCUCGGAGAAGGACCAUUACAUUCAACUUCAAAGUUACGCAAUAAACUGUAAGUCAUCCCCACAUUCAUGAUGCUGCAGAUCUCUUGGUAGUUCUUCCUUAUCCUCAGCUGCUCUUCUAUUACUUCUACCCCACUAAAGGCAUCCACAAGAUUCAACAAGAGAGAGCACCCCAGGACAUCCUCCUCUUCCGUAACAGGUGGUUCUAUAAUUGAUUUUGCCAGAGAGGCAAUAACAUUGUCUUUGGGAGCAAAGCCAUUUCUCACCAACCAGGAGAGCAUUGUUACCAGGGCUUGUGUUUGUAUGCUCAUAUAUUGUUUUCCAGGAAUAAAUUCUGAUAGUUUCUUAUCAUUUACUGCUUUCCUACUCAAGUCAAGCAACCAUGGAAGCUGGAAAGCAGCAAAAGAUAAAAUUUUUCCAUUUUCUCUCAAAAAAGAUUCCAAAUCAGUUCCACUGCCAACAGGCAAAUUUUUAGCAACAAAAGAAAGUCUUUCUUUUACUUUACUUAAGUGAGUUUCUUGGUCAUCAUCGUUUGCUCCAUCAACCAGUUUAGAGCAAUCUUUGAGGUUAACCAUAUCUUGAAUACCAUGCACCGGAAGCGAAAAAAAUGAGGAAUCUUGAGAUGGAAAAUUAGGAGAACUCAUCCCUGUUAACAUCAACAAAGUAUCACACUGGCCCUGCAUGUCUAGAUCCUUCCAUGCAUGGAGAAGCUCACCAAUAGACUCCUCAUCACAGUGACUUAAAGCAAAACCUAGCAGCUGUUUUCGAGAGCUUAUAUCCAUAUUUUCGAGAGCAGGACCUCUUGCUAUUGCAGCACAUAAAUCCCAUAUGAGACCAUGUCCUUUUUUAGCCAAAACAAGGCAGAGAUCAAAUGCCAAUUGCAGAUCUCCAGCUACAGCAGCUUCUCUAGCAAUAGCUUCCUCAAUAGCUGAUAUAUCAUCUGAUGAGUUCAAUCCAAGAAGUUUAGCAACCUCAAUGAGUUCAUCAACAUGUAGAUAAGCUCCAGGUUGACUGGCAAUUGCCAUUUUGACAAUCUCCAUGGGAUCCCUUAUCUGCCUGAAUUGCAUGGGUAGAAGAGUCACUCCAAGGUUUGGAAGCUUAACAGUUAGUGCCUCAAUCAUAUCAGCCUCUGCUUUAACAUGUCUGCUGCUUGGAAACAAAUUUAGGCAUUCCUUUGCCUUCCAGAUUUCUGAGCAUGACAGACUAGAAGCUGAGAAAAAGAAUUCCCGUGCUGCUUGAAUAACAAGAUUUUCUGCUUUCUCUGAUGCCAAGGACACUGAACUUGUACCCUUUAGAUAAUUUCUUGCAAGAGAAAAUCUCCCAGCUUUCAGUAAUCCUCUACAGAAUUCUGUUAACAUAUACUCUGGAUCAAGAAAAGGAAAAGCCUUCUCUCGCAAGCAUUGCAUAUCACGCCACAUGCUUGCCCAUUCAUUAUCUAAUCGACCUGGCUGUCUUCGAACAAAUUUCGAAAGCAUAAGGCGAAGAAUCUGUUUCACUCCUUUUUCAUCCGCAUGACCCUCAAGGAAGAAGUUCAUAGGCUUUGGAACCUGGUAAAAUGCCAAAAUUCUCCCAGCUUCAAUAUGGCCUUCUGCAAGUUUAAGUCUUUUCUCAAGGCCAUCGAUAUAUGUUUCAGCAUCUUGCUUCUGUGGAAGCUUAGACAAUAUGGUAGCCAGUGUACUCCAUCUGUCUGUAACUGUGCACAAAUAUAUGCAUUGCAGAGCACAAUCCACAGCUUCAUUCUCAUCCUUGAAGAAUCCGUUACUCUGCAAUUCCCUGCACCCUUCCUCAAUGACUAUCAAACAUACAUCUAAUUUAUUCUCCAAAGCAAUUUCCUUAAGCCAUCUAACCAGAAAUGACUCAUCCUUAUGGUCUAAAGAAAAAUGACCAUCUUUAACCUGAUCUUGAGUAACAGAGGUCAAGUCAUGAAACCUAUUUUGCAUAAAAGGAAUUGCCAUAUCAUGCAACUUUUUUACCACAUUUUCCUCGUUGACUUCCUUUAGCAUCAUUCUGAAUUUUUCAUAAUCAGAUAAUUGUUCCCACUCCAUAAGACUAAUAUUGAAGCUUGUUUCGCUAUCACUCUCAUCAGAAUAAAUAAGCUGGUGCAAGUAUGAAAUAUCCUUGUGAAACUGCUGCAAUUCGAAGAUACCUUUCCGACAAGCUAAGUCAACCAGAAAGAGGCAGUUAUCCAGUUGGCCACUAUAGCAAUCAAUAUCUCUAGCUCUGUUCAUGUACCAUACAGAUAGUUCACUAAUUGAUGGCCAAAUGUAACCUGAGCACUGUUUGACAAUAGGCUCAGUUCUGAUCUGGAUACCACUCUCAUGAUUCUCAGGCAAAUUGUUGAUAAAGCUUAACAUCUCUUCACAUUCAACCCAAUCUUCAUCCCUAAGAGAAACACUCAUAGGAGGGGACCUUCCAGGAAGAAGUUGACCAUAUGUUUGAAUGGGAACAGUCUCAGGAACAGCAGCUAGUAUUUGCAAUAUAGAAGGAGAAAGAGAAUAAGGAUGACGUUUAAACAGGAGGUUUAAAGCACCAAUUUUCCCACUUUCAGCAAGUGUUACAGCAACUUCACUUAGAGGCAUAACACGAAAUUUCCCAUACUCCUGCACUGAAAACCUGCACAAGACUGCCCAUAUUUAUUCCCAGAUAUGUCUCUAGCCUGUCUCUGAAUUGCAAUAACUGCAGCCUGGCCAAACGGAAAUCCCAAAUUUGGCUUCUUUGACAAUCUUCUGAGUCCGAAAAGCGGUAAUGAUCAGUUGCAUGCAGCCCAUGUGCAAGUAAUGCUUUUACAGCACCUUCUGUUGGUCCAGCUUUGUUAAUGCAUUCAGAAAGUACAAAACCAUGAUCCUUAAUAUUUGAUAAAAACAUAUUUAUUUCAUUUAUUCCUUGGCAAGAGUGCAACCACUGUGAUUUUAAAACUUCAUCUAUGUCCAAUCCAUGAUGAUUGGCAAAGUCCAAUGCUUCCUGAUAUUUAUGGUUGCCAAUUAAGAUAUUAUACAUUUCAGGAAUGGAUCUCUCUGAAAUUGAUAUCAACCUCCAGCGCAACCUAGAAAGGUCAAAUUGAUCACUUGCGUCUUCAAUUAUCUGCUGCACAUGGUGUACACUUCUUGAUUCUCUAUUAUCAUUAGAUGAAAAUUUUCUAUCUUCAUAUGAUUUGCUCUCUAAAACAAAUAUUUGCCCUUUAAGCUGCUGUACUCUAUCUAAAACAGGCAUCAAAUAUACAGGAUCAUUUUCUUGAAGUUUUAAGCCAGUAAGGAUAUCAAUCAUUGUGACAAGACCACCCCUCCUUGCAAUAGUCACAAUAUGGUCAGACCACCAAGUAAAAUCAACAUUAUCAAUUAAAAGUCCAUUCCGUACAUUCGAUAAGUUACUGAUCACCUGUGACCGUGAGCCUAAUCUCUCUCCAAUAGCAAAGUUAGAAAGUGAGCACCGUUCUUUAUCCAACUUAAAAAAGUGCAAGCAUCCUGUCAUAUCUAAAGUGGCAACAAAAUUGCCCUGUGGAGACAUUAGCACCUUUGGAUAAGCUAUCUGACCUACAUAAUCUUUUGGUUUGAAAUAGCCUUCAAACUGAAUAGAGAACAAUGGUUCUAGAUCUACACCGUUACAUUGACGCCAAAGGGAAAGAUUACAGGAUCCAGUAUUUCCACUAGACAUUAGUGAGGUGCUAUCAGCACUACCAACAACAAGAAGCAAAGAAUGUUCAGGAUCAUAGUCAAUGCAGUAAACAUCCUUCGGGAACUGUCUCUUCACAGUUAACCCACUGUUUGACGUGCGCAUGGAGGAAAUAGAGGCCUCUGGUUGUUGGCUGAUCUCUACAUGAUGAAGAAAUCCAUCUGAUGUGAGAAUGAUGAAGCUACACAAACAAGAUCCACGUGCAUCAAUAUUGUCCUGUGGAAUCAAACCUAUUAUUGGAAAGCCAGCUUUUAAUUGUCUCUUCAUAAUUCUUGUAAUCUCUUCACCAUUUGCUUUGAUAAAAUAGAAUGCAUCAUUAUCAUCAGCAAUUCCGAGAAUAUCAUGAGUUUCUGACCAAACUCCAUGGGAAAAUAUACCAGGGCCACUACUGGUAAAAGUGCCACAUGGCUCCUGGUAGUCAUCCUCCUUCCGCAAGAUCGUAAUCUGAUUCCCAGUAGCGACAGCCACUCGUUCACCUCUUGGAGAUAUAAUCAAAGAUAUAGGUUUCUUGAUUUUCAAUGGAUUCCUGUAAUCCCUCCAUUUCUCCUUUAGUUGACUUAUACCUGGAGCUGAGAAGAGCGACCACAGAACCCCUUUAACGCCUUCAUUUCUCUUUAAGGAUUGAGGGGGGUAAUUAGAAGAGUAAGGUCUGGUGGCGUGAUUGCGUAUCUCGUAAAGCACUUCUCCGACGCUUUCUUCCUCCAUUGGUAAUGUCACUUUGUUACUAUGCAACCAAGAUGCAGUCCUAUACUGCUGCCAGGCAGCCAAAGAAGAAACUGAUCACAGAUGAUGACGGUGGUGAUUCUGGUUCAAGGCCUCGGGCUUCCGCAU
This 7708-nucleotide unclassified non-coding RNA is filed under the name Hevea brasiliensis (rubber tree). The record is from RNAcentral. Lineage: Eukaryota; Viridiplantae; Streptophyta; Magnoliopsida; Malpighiales; Euphorbiaceae.